Molecule: long non-coding RNA, 901 nt
Filed under: Physeter macrocephalus (sperm whale)
Lineage: Eukaryota; Metazoa; Chordata; Mammalia; Artiodactyla; Physeteridae
Description: Physeter catodon (sperm whale) lncRNA (ENSPCTG00005005624.1)
Source: RNAcentral
CCUCUUCUUUCGCUUCGUUAGUUACGGCUGAAGCCGCUGGGUGGGGAAGAAGGUGCAAGUUAACCAGCAUCUUGCUGUUUCUUCAAAACAUACCUUUAUUAACGAUGUAGGCUAUUAAUUUCAGAUACCCUGAGGCAGUAUCGAGGUCGGGGGAAAACUCAUUUUGCAUCCAAAACAAGCCUAUCUUGAUCUGGGGAUACUGCCGGGGCGGCUGCUCCGGACACUGGCUCCUAGGGGUCCAAAUACACCGAAGUCUGUACCGAAAAGAGAAAUCACUCUGAAGAUUACAGGUUGGUUACAGGAAAAAGGAAGGCCGUUUUCCUUCCUGACAGUCUCACGUUAAGGUGCCGGAAAAAUCUAAUUUGAUGUUGAAUUCCCUAGUAACUGAGAUGAACAGGAAUUACGUCUCGAUAGUUAAAGGAUGUAUUCGGAUGUGCUUAUUCUUUGCCUUCAGUCCAAACCUCUACUGUGGAUGUAGAGUGGAAUCUCCACCCAAGAAGGUGCAACUAUUCAAUGUCAAUCCUCCAGAAAUUUCCAAAUUUUUUGCAGAGGUCAUAGUACAUCUAUAAUCAGAAAUAAUCAAUGGACUAUUAAAAAGCAAUGUUCUUGAAUCUUCAACAAUAUAAAAAUGUUAAGUAGAAAACAAAGGAUAAAGUACUAUUUUUAGCAUCGCCUUAAUUAUAUUAAAAUAUUCACUGUUUUAGAAGAAAAUACACAGCAUAUUAAUGUGCUUUUCUCUGAGAGGUUAGAUUAUUAAAGAUUCUUAUAAAUAAAUAAAUAAAUUGUGUAUAUACACACACAUAUGUAAUUUAUCUAAAUAAAAAUUAAAAGUAAGAAAUGUUUUUAAUCCAAACACAAAUAUAAACUUUGUCAUCGCAUAGGACCAGAGGAAGAGUUGAUU